Molecule: long non-coding RNA, 2069 nt
Organism: Betta splendens (Siamese fighting fish)
Lineage: Eukaryota; Metazoa; Chordata; Actinopteri; Anabantiformes; Osphronemidae
Exons: 3
Source: RefSeq, a predicted model, not a curated record
AAGUCCCGCUGCUGCUUGUCGGGGAUCGCCCAACCCUUCUGGAUCUUACACAGCUCCUCUAGGCCAUCGUUGAACCCCUGAAACACAACGAGACAAUGACAACUUCUCCCACCCACCUACAUCCACAGUGAAUCAGUGCACUGCAGGACAAACCACAUGAAGUCAUGAAAUGCUCAACCCGACACCUGAGUUUGUUCAGGCUACUGUGUCAGAGGCAAACGGGCCUCAGCCACUGACCUUGGCUCCAGGUAGACCUACAGGCAUGUUCCUGUCCGUCAGAUGCUCCGUCACCUUGACCCAGCUGCAACACAACACAACAUCACUUCACACUGGACUCACGCCUUUGUCUUGUUUAAAGUGCUCAGGUUUACCUGCGCUGGUACAUCUGCAUCUGCUGCUCAAUCAGUUCUCUGUACUGACUCUCUGCUUUCUUCUGGGUCACCGUUACCAGCUGGAUCAAGUCCGACCUGAAUCCAAGCACAGCACAGAGCUGCCAUCAAAUGAGCACCACACGUUGACUUGGCUCCUCAGUUCACACUGCUUCCACAUUAACACCCUCACACUGGCUCUAACACGCAUCACCACCAGCGCAGGUCAAAAAGCCCAUUAACACAUUACAAACCGUUAACAUCUACUACGUCUCUGACCCAGCACAUGCUCAUUAUGAAGCUCUGUUAACGGGCCUGUGUUGUGCUCCUACUCACUUCUCCAGGGACUUCAGGAUGUAGUUGUAGUUGUUGUGCAGGAAGAUGGCGCUCAGAGCAGAGUCCUCGUACACCUUUGACUUACUGAGCAGAUUCAGCUGCAAAUUCCCUAAAACUUUGCCUGAAACAUAAACCAGCCAUUGGCUUGGACACAUGACCACAUUCAUCGAGAUCUGCAAACCUAAAGGCUGGCGUUUGGCCAUGAAUGGCAACCUAACAAGUACAAUGCUCAGAUCAGCUGUCUGUGAAUAGGACUCAGUGAUGCCGAGUCGACCAGCUGCAGCCUCCACAUCACAUGCAUGAAACAAAGCAGUAGGUCUACGCCUCUGCCCAAUGUCACACUUCUCUCUACAAGCCGUUACAUGUUGUAUUUGACCGUUGAGCAGAUCAGUGUUUGUCCUCAUCACAGCUCGUCUUGUCUACUCACAUAUGUAAGUGCUGAGAAGCCUUUUGUUGAACUCCGAGGUGGAGCCACCGCCUGACGAACUCGUCUCUGGGGGAAAAACACAGGCAGCGGGAGCGUUCACUCAGUGGACAGCUUCACAUUUCCUGUCAACGUCUUCAACCAGCAUUCACAAUCACACCCCUCAUGGGCUUACACAGGCAGCGGCUUACCUCGGGGGUCUAAAGGGAUAUUGUAAGUGUUCCCCAGCACUACAAGGGCCGAGGCAAGAAGAGAGGAAAGAGAGGCACAAGUGCAAAAAGGUUAGCGAAGACUUGUUAGUGCAGCGUAAACCCAGCAGGCAAAGACAACAGGACAGAGCGUCCACGCAUGCACAAAGACAGCAAAGUAAAGCUGCGUGUGGCAAGAAAAAGGAAGGCAAAAAGGUCAAAGCUAGCCUGCCUGGCGUCACCUUACCUUGUGAGGCCAACAUGGCGCCGGCCGUCUCGUGGAAGUCCAGCAGCUGCUGCAGGAACAGGAUGGCCUGUAGGACACACGUCACAGCGUCAGCUCCUCUCACACAGGUGCACCUUUCAUCCACAAACCCACGACGGAGGGCGGCGCCUUACGUUGCUGGUCAGCUCAUGGACCGUUCCAUCCUUGGGCAUGUUGUACUCUUUGUCUGGAUCGUUCUGUGGUUCAACAGGACACUAUGAGCAAAUACAGUUCACUAACACGCACACACACAUUCUUGUACUUGGGGACCUCCAUUGACAUAAUGCCUUCCCAACCCCUCACUCUAACCAUCACAAAUAAAGGCACCAAAAGUCAAUUCUAACCUCAGCCCUAAAAUCACAUCUUAACCCUUAAACAGGCCUUCAAAGAAGUGAGGACAGGCCAAAAAUGUCACUUUGGUAGGAAAAUACGUUUUUUGGUCCUCACUUGAUGCAAGUACACACACACACACAGCGUCUUGCCUUGAU